GACGAACGCUGGCGGCGUGCUUAACACAUGCAAGUCGAACGGAAAGGCCCUGCUUUUGUGGGGUGCUCGAGUGGCGAACGGGUGAGUAACACGUGAGUAACCUGCCCUUGACUUUGGGAUAACUUCAAGAAACUGGGGCUAAUACCGGAUAGGAGCUCCUGCUGCAUGGUGGGGGUUGGAAAGUUUCGGCGGUUGGGGAUGGACUCGCGGCUUAUCAGCUUGUUGGUGGGGUAGUGGCUUACCAAGGCUUUGACGGGUAGCCGGCCUGAGAGGGUGACCGGCCACAUUGGGACUGAGAUACGGCCCAGACUCCUACGGGAGGCAGCAGUGGGAAAUAUUGCACAAUGGGCGGAAGCCUGAUGCAGCAACGCCGCGUGCGGGAUGACGGCCUUCGGGUUGUAAACCGCUUUCGCCUGUGACGAAGCGUGAGUGACGGUAAUGGGUAAAGAAGCACCGGCUAACUACGUG
RNAcentral lists this ribosomal RNA (468 nucleotides) under uncultured bacterium. RNAcentral's name for it is "partial 16S ribosomal RNA". It matches the Rfam family "Bacterial small subunit ribosomal RNA", at positions 28 to 507 of the family's 1533-position model. The record is from RNAcentral.